Molecule: long non-coding RNA, 1242 nt
Filed under: Homo sapiens (human)
Lineage: Eukaryota; Metazoa; Chordata; Mammalia; Primates; Hominidae
Description: HSALNT0041127
Source: RNAcentral
UUCCAGCCUUCAUCUUUCUGCCAUACUGGAUGCUUCCUGCCCUUGAACAUCAUACUCCAAGUUCUUCAGCUUUUGGGCCCUUAGACUUACACCAGUGAUUUGCCAGGGGCCUUCAGUUACAGACUGAAAGCUGUACUAUCGGCUUGCCUACUUUUGUGGUUUAGGGACUCAGACUGGCUUGCUGUCUCCUCAGCUUACAGACGGCCUAUUGUGGGACUUCAUGUUGUGAUCAUGACUGCCAGUACUGUAUUGAAUAGAAGUGGUGAGAAUGGAUAACUUUGUCUUCUUCCUGAUCUAAGAUAAGAGGUUUUCAGCUUUUCACCAUCGACUGUGAUGUGAGCUGCGGGCUUGUCAUAUGCAGCUUUUGUUGUGUUAAGGGGCAUGAGGAAUUCAAAGUGGACUAAAGGCAGUUUUAAUUGGGAAUUCAGUGGAACCAUUGUUGCUGUCUUCUUGUGGAGCAUUCUUCUCUUUGGAACUAACACCUCUAGACCAGCAGAGAAUAAAGCAACAGGGGCACGAAACAUAAAAUUUUGCUGGUAAAUCACUGAGGAUAAUAAAUCACUGCCACUUCCAUUUCCAUCCAUUGAUUUCUACACUCAUGAUUCCUGGCUAUGGGAGCAACAACACCAUAUACUGGAUGCUGCUUUAGAGCAAAGGGCCUCCUGGAGAACAUUGCCUCAGACUUGCAAGGUAUUGGCACCUGGGUGUCACUAUACUGAGUCUUCAAAAGGCUCUUCCACCAUUCUAUCAAGCCAUCUGCUUCAGGAUAAUGGGGAACAUGGUAUGACCAGUGAAUUCCAUGAGCAUGGGCACACUGCUGCACCUUGUUUCCUGUGAAGUGAGUUCUUUGAUCAGAAGCGAUGCUAUUGGAAAACCAUGAUGUUGAACAAGGUGGUGUCUCACCAUGUUGCCCAGACUGGUUACAAACUCCUAGGCUCAAGCGAUUCGCCUGCCGUGGCCUCCCAAAGUGCUUGGAUCACAGGAAUGAACCACUGUGCCUGGCCAGGUGAUUUUAAUUCUAAUCUAAUGCACAAUCUGUCUCUUCUGACGUAUCAUGAACUUUGUAUUUAAAUAAAUACUUACUAAGGAGUUGGUUCUGUAAAUGCCUUUUAACAAAAGACCAUCGGAAACAUACCUGUAGUUGUUCUAUUUACUGCUAAUGGGAAAGUGCUAAUCAUGGGGCAUCUCGGUUACAGAUGUUAAAAAAGGCUUAUACAAUGAUUUACACUUGCCGUAGAUGGU